Non-coding RNA from Vicugna pacos (alpaca), 510 nucleotides. The record is from RefSeq and is a predicted model, not a curated record. NCBI's taxonomy places the organism in Eukaryota, Metazoa, Chordata, Mammalia, Artiodactyla, Camelidae.
GUCACGUCAGAAGGGACCCAGCACUCCAGAGGCCCAAAGAAGUGAAAACGAGCUGAGCGACUGCACCAGCGCCACGGGGAAAUGCAGCACACAAAGGUGAGGACCCCGAAACUCUACCGUUUAUUCUGGCAGAGCCUAAUUCUCUCCUUAACUCACAGCACACAGUAAACAGGAUCCUAAGAGUAAAGGUAGGUUAAACAAUAAGAGCUUUACCACAAAAAUCAGCACAGUGGAGCCAUAAGUUCCUGGGUUGGGUAAAACGGAGGCUGGAAAAAUCUGUCCAGAAUGUCAUGAGACAAUCAGUAAAGACCUUGAACAAGGGAAGCCUCUGUAAGCUGCCACCGAAGCCAUAUGGGGUCCUCUGUCCAAGGUGGGUGAUGUUCACAUCCAAAACAAUCAAGGGGGUGGGCCAUGAGGGCUCACCAAAGGGCUCACAAGGCCGGGGGAGACUCUACACAAAGAGAGACAGCACAGCAAUCUGCUCUCCCCACUUAAGAAAAACUGAGAUGU